Molecule: long non-coding RNA, 216 nt
Filed under: Elaeis guineensis (African oil palm)
Lineage: Eukaryota; Viridiplantae; Streptophyta; Magnoliopsida; Arecales; Arecaceae
Description: long non-coding RNA (EGUI_LNC017512)
Source: RNAcentral
CAAGCUUAGGUUUUGUCUCAUCCUCUGCAGAUCCGGGUGACAGUGUGCUUAGAGUAAUGUUGGUGUUGUAAUAAAGUAAUGUAACUAGUGCCAGGGAAGGACGUGGAAAAUUGUUAGAAAGAACGCACUCAAAGAAUUUUGAAUGGAUAAGUACUCAUAGUUUUUUAUUGAACCGAAACUUCUAGGGUUACACAAAAGCUAGCUGGGGUACGUACA